UACGGAAGGCAGCAGUGGGGAAUAUUGCACAAUGGGCGCAAGCCUGAUGCAGCCAUGCCGCGUGUAUGAAGAAGGCCUUCGGGUUGUAAAGUACUUUCAGUCGUGAGGAAGGUGUUAAGGUUAAUAACCUUAGCAAUUGACGUUAGCGACAGAAGAAGCACCGGCUAACUCCGUGCCAGCAGCCGCGGUAAUACGGAGGGUGCGAGCGUUAAUCGGAAUUACUGGGCGUAAAGGGCACGCAGGCGGUUAAUUAAGUUGGAUGUGAAAUCCCCGGGCUUAACCUGGGAAUGGCAUUCAAGACUGGUUAGCUAGAGUCUUGUAGAGGGGGUUAGAAUUCCAUGUGUAGCGGUGAAAUGCGUAGAGAUGUGGAGGAAUACCGGUGGCGAAGGCGGCCCCUGGACAAAGGCUGACGCUCAUGUGCGAAAGCGUGGGGAGCAAACGAGGGAUUAGAU
Molecule: ribosomal RNA, 452 nt
Filed under: uncultured bacterium
Lineage: Bacteria
Description: bacterial SSU rRNA
Rfam family: Bacterial small subunit ribosomal RNA
Source: RNAcentral